CUAGAAAGGAGGAGGUGCAAUCGGGGUUACAGCCAGGCUAGCAGGAGCUAGAGUUUAGAGGAAAGGCAGCCAGCACCUGAGACAGAGAAAGGAAGAGGCAAGGUCACUCCUUUCUUGUGUUUCCCCAGACUUUGGUUAGUGCCUGCUGCUCUUGAAGAACUGAUCAAGUGCCAUUUGGCAGGGGAAUCUAGGAAAUGUACUCUGUAAAGAUUACUUUCCUCUUCUCUCCCACCUUCAAAGGAGCAGGAGAAUGGCUGCUCUGGAUGGAAAAUGCCCUGGGUUCUCCGAGACUUAACACCCCGCCUUGUGAACGCGAGCAAGAUUUUUCUCUCUGAGCAGCUCUUUUCACAUGUGAUAAGCUUGGCAAGUUGCCCUGAGCUAACUACGCAUGAUUUGCUGACCUGUAAGCAGUGUGAAAUCCAAGCAUCUACACUCCGAGAUAAGCUGUCAAGAGGCAAGAUAAGGCAUUUGCAAUUGGCAGUGUUUCAAAGGACUCCAGAUUUCUCCAAAGAACCUAGAUUUCCCAGCAGACAAUGA
Molecule: long non-coding RNA, 537 nt
Organism: Pan paniscus (pygmy chimpanzee)
Lineage: Eukaryota; Metazoa; Chordata; Mammalia; Primates; Hominidae
Source: Ensembl